GCUUGGGUCCACUUCCACACUGCCGAGUGUACUUUCAUUUUCAAUAAAUUCCUGCUUUUGUUCUUUUGUUGCUUCAUGCUUUCUUUGCUUUGCUGGGCAUUUUGUCCAAUUCUUUGUUCAAAACACCAAGAACCUGGACAACUUGCAGUCAACACCCUCUACCAGUGACACUGGGAGCAGAGUGGGGGGUGGGGAUUGACCUAUGUAACAAAACCUUCAUAAAGUUCCUAAAUGACAAGGGUAGGAGCACUUCUGGGUUGGUGAACACAACUAUGUCAGAAAUAAUAAGUUUCUCUUCAAAGCUCCCUUGGUCUUUCUUGCUCUGUACACAGGCCCCACCCCUUGCUUAAUUUGUAAUUAGCAAACCUCUAUAUGCCCAGACAUGCCCAGACUUGUUCUGUAAACUACCUUUCCCACCUUAGCAACAGUCUCUUCCUCCCCUCCUCUUGCAAACGGCAUAUUUACCAUAUGUAGAAAAGUUUAAGUCUUAGCCAAUAAUUGGGUUAGAUUGUUCAGUCCAACUCAAGCCAAUGGGGAGAGGACACAGUAACAGGAGCUGCGUUAGGGAUAAAAACUUUUCUCUCCUUUGUUUGGUAUGCUCUUGCAAUCAGACGGAUGCAGGCAGCACCCUUCUGCAGAAGUAAAUGUGCCUUGCUGAGAAAUGUUCUGUCUAAGUGCUGGCUUUUCUUUGAGGCACUGAGCACUUGUUUCUAACAAAAUGGGGGCACAUCUGGGAUCCCAUUCUCCUCCGGAGAAGGGUCUCCAAUCAUCUCUUGUGAGGAGACGUGUCUCACUGCAGCAGCCUCAAGAAUGAGGGAUUGAGACCCACCAGCAUGAUGAAUAUACCGAGACUCUCAGCAACAUGGAAGGAAAAGGCCUACAGAUGCCAUGGUGACCAAGUAAUUCUGUGCACAGACCAAGGAGGAAGGUAACAAAGUCAAUAGUUACAAAGCAGA
This 956-nucleotide long non-coding RNA is filed under the name Homo sapiens (human). Its description in RNAcentral is "HSALNT0024437". The record is from RNAcentral. Lineage: Eukaryota; Metazoa; Chordata; Mammalia; Primates; Hominidae.